This 406-nucleotide ribosomal RNA is filed under the name uncultured bacterium. Its description in RNAcentral is "bacterial SSU rRNA". It matches the Rfam family "Bacterial small subunit ribosomal RNA", at positions 355 to 775 of the family's 1533-position model. The record is from RNAcentral.
UGGGGAAUAUUGGACAAUGGACCAAAAGUCUGAUCCAGCAAUUCUGUGUGCACGAUGAAGUUUUUCGGAAUGUAAAGUGCUUUCAGUUGGGAAGAAGAAAGUGACGGUACCAACAGAAGAAGCGACGGCUAAAUACGUGCCAGCAGCCGCGGUAAUACGUAUGUCGCAAGCGUUAUCCGGAUUUAUUGGGCGUAAAGCGCGUCUAGGCGGUUUGGUAAGUCUGAUGUGAAAAUGCGGGGCUCAACUCCGUAUUGCGUUGGAAACUGCCAAACUAGAGUACUGGAGAGGUAGGCGGAACUACAAGUGUAGAGGUGAAAUUCGUAGAUAUUUGUAGGAAUGCCGAUGGGGAAGCCAGCCUACUGGACAGAUACUGACGCUAAAGCGCGAAAGCGUGGGUAGCAAACAG